This 802-nucleotide long non-coding RNA is filed under the name Crocodylus porosus (Australian saltwater crocodile). RNAcentral describes it as "lncRNA (ENSCPRG00005013389.1)". The record is from RNAcentral. Lineage: Eukaryota; Metazoa; Chordata; Crocodylia; Crocodylidae.
CUUUGCAGUACUGAAUCUUUCCUCCAUUACUUCAGUGCAGGAAAAAGCAAGCAAAAAAAAAAAAGCCAACUUAGCUGGAGUGACUUCUGUGUACAAUACCAGACACCAAUAUUUCUCAAGCCAUUUCCAACAGCCAGAGAUGUCUAGAAUGUAGAGGCAAUGUCACAAGGCACCUAACCCUGAGCUGCAUAGGGUACAUCAUAAAGUAUUGCCAACAUCUUUUUUUGCCUAUCAACAAGAAUUCUGCAACUGACCUAUAUAGGAAGAGGAUUUCACACUAGAAAUAUAGUGGGAGUAAUGACACGAAUAGUGUGAUGAGUAUUAUUUAUUCCUUUUCUCAAUCCUUAGUAAAGAAAAACCUAUGCUCCAAGAACCUUUUUAAGUAAAAGAAAAUGAAAAACAAAAAAGGAAGCUUUCAUCCAAUGAAAACAAUACAUUGAUGAAGGACUAAAAGUUGGCCCUACCCUAAGUAGGAGUAAAAGCCAUGUGUAUAUUUACUAGUGGACUAAUCUCUGAACAGCACCUGGGAUUGAGGAAUGAUUUCGUCCUAGACUUUUUAUUAGAAGUCUGGCCAAAGAAGUCACACUGUGCCUGUUUGGUGCCCUGAUAUUACAAAGAUCUUCAGUCUACAAAUGGACUUCUGUAGGGUAUACUUCAGUAACUUCCCCAGUUUUGAGGUGAGUCUAAUUGGUCUGUAGUUUCCCUGGUCCUUCUUUUUGCCUUUUUUAAAGAAGGGCACUUAACAUCGGUCCUUUUCCAGUUCUCUGAUACCUCACCAAACAACAGAGAACCAAGGUCUUUU